CCUAAGUUUCCAGUUUCUAUAGCCUAUGGAGGUGUGAGAUUUUGCACCUUCUUUAACACGAGCUCUUGUUAAAACUUAAAAACAUGUAAUAAAUCUGAAAGCGGCUAAAAUUACGAAUUAGGUUUUGGGAUCCAGAAAAACUUGUUUAUUUGAAAGCUGGAUUCAAUGAGUCUUUCAAAUGAGAUGGAUAUUGACAAAAAUAGUGAAGUUGAUAAAACCAGUUGCGAUGGAACAAAGAAAGCAGCAGUUCAAGCUGAACUUAACAGAGUGAAUAAACUGCCUACAAACAGUAGCUAUGCAUCUCAUCGUAUUAGAGUACUUAACAAAGUACUGCAACUUAUGUCCAUUAAGAGAACGUCUUCACAAGACGAAGAGUUGGAGCUUCUUUUUGCAGGGCUGUCUCUUUGAGGAAGAAUUUAAGCUUGUCUAAGCACUGAAUGUGAAAAUGAAGCUAUAUCAACAUAAAGAAUGAUAGAGUACAACAAUGCUUGUGUGGUUUGUGCUUUUUAAUGGUUCAAUGAAGAGAAACUACCCUGGGUGCAGAGCUGCUCUUCGUGUGUAUGUGUAUAUAUAGUAAUGUAUACUGUUGGGUUUGAUGAGAGACCAUCUCUGUUACUCAUACUACAUUUUCAAGGUUCCAUUUUGUGUCCAAUGGCUGCAAGCUUUAAAUAAAAUAAACCCAAAAACUUUGAUUUGCUUAUAUUUCUGUUA
Molecule: long non-coding RNA, 711 nt
Organism: Papaver somniferum (opium poppy)
Lineage: Eukaryota; Viridiplantae; Streptophyta; Magnoliopsida; Ranunculales; Papaveraceae
Exons: 4
Source: RefSeq, a predicted model, not a curated record